ACCUUCUGAGUAUGACAUUUGUACACUUGCCUUCCAAGCAUAGAAGUCUAAGCUUAAUUAGAGAAGGUA
This 69-nucleotide transfer RNA is filed under the name Ceraesignum maximum. RNAcentral describes it as "tRNA-Gly". The record is from RNAcentral. Lineage: Eukaryota; Metazoa; Mollusca; Gastropoda; Littorinimorpha; Vermetidae.